Ilex paraguariensis (yerba mate) is the source of this 114-nucleotide non-coding RNA. The record is from the annotation of a GenBank genome assembly. NCBI's taxonomy places the organism in Eukaryota, Viridiplantae, Streptophyta, Magnoliopsida, Aquifoliales, Aquifoliaceae.
GCGAUCAUACCAGCAUUAAUGCACCGGAUCUCAUCAGAACUUCGCAGUUAAGCGUGCUUGGGAGAGAGUAGUACUAGGACGGGUCACCCCUGGGAAGUCCUCAUGUUGCAUCCC